GCUGAAGCAGCUAAAGCUUGCACAUCUGGCUGGGCAUCUCGACGUGCUUCUUCCACUCCGGACAAAAGCUCCAAACGAAGCUUCACGACAAGGGUUUCACUCACUGUUGAAACGAGUUAAUAAAAGAAUAUAUGACACAUGAAGUCAUUCAGCACAACGAGGGAUUCUCUCCGCAGACUGUAAAACUUGGCCACACCUGACAAGGAUAAUAAUAAGUGUACUGCUUAUGAUGAAUGUAUUAUGGCUAAUUUGCAUGUGUACCUAAAUUAAUGUGAAUGCAUAUGGUGCAUAUAAUAACCAAA
Penaeus vannamei (Pacific white shrimp) is the source of this 302-nucleotide non-coding RNA. NCBI's taxonomy places the organism in Eukaryota, Metazoa, Arthropoda, Malacostraca, Decapoda, Penaeidae. The record is from RefSeq and is a predicted model, not a curated record.